CAGUUGUUAAAGUGUAUAAUGCACUUACAACUUUUUUCUUAUUAAAAUCUAAAAGGUAAGUCCCAUAGACUUAUAACCAAGGAUAGACCCAGCAUGUUUACAUUAAACGAAAUCAUACACCAUAUAGAUAUUAAGGCCAUGAUGCCAAGUUGAAAAGAUGUUUCGCCGGAAAAUGUAUUAUUUUUCUAUUUAAUUGCCAAUAAUCCACAAAUUAUCACACUAUUUACUGUAACAAGUCCCCAUAUCAAAAUGAAAAUAUUCGUGUCAUGCAAAAUUUGUUCCUCAGGUACCUAAAUACCUAGAAAUACAAUAAAAUACCAGUUUUAUACGACCGCACCCAAAACAACGGAAUUUCCGAAACAAACUGACCUGGUGACGAAAGUGGCAACUCAUCUGUUUACGACGUAAAUUCAUUUUUACUAUUUCAUUCAUUUUUCGUUUGCGCUGUUGCCUAACAGAGAUCUCGAGCUUUAUAGUCGUUUUUUUUGUGAUUAUUUGAUUGUUUUUAACGUUUUUUGUGUUGUUUUGGACUAUUAAGACUUAAUACCCUGACUAAAAAGUGUCACGUGUGCCAAAGAACGAGUACUACGUCGGAAAAUGUAUAUUUUCAUAGAUUUCCAUCUGAACCAAUCAACUGAAUAAACCAAUUACCAAAAUCUGCACUGAUUUGCUCUGAACAUUUUAAGUCAUCUGACUUUUUUCAGAGUCGAGAUGACAAAAAAUGUCUUAAGCCAGGUUCCCUUCCAAAGUUAGUGGGAUCUCUUUAUGAUAGUUCCUCGACUAGCUUAUCAUCUCAAAUUUUUAUCCUGCAUACCUGGCCCUUCAGAAAUGAUACAGAGAUCAUCACCUACAUCUUCAAGGACAGCUACUGCCUCUGAAGCUGAAUCAGAGGCCUGUACUAGUGUUUCAGCUGAUCAUUCCACAUUACAGUCCAAGGCAGUUGACGGAGAUAGCCUUCCUGAAGCUAAGGAGGCACUGGUGUUUAUGGUGGUAGCCAUCAAUGAUUCUUGAAAAGUGCCUGUUGGGUAUUUUCUUCUAAAUGGGCUUGAAUCUGCCGCUAAGCAGACUUAGUAAUUAAUUGUAUCAGAUUAAUACUGUGAUGACAGUAAUACUGUGAAUUUAUUUAUGCGAAUAAAUUUAUAUAUUAUUUUAGAAAA
Anthonomus grandis grandis is the source of this 1157-nucleotide long non-coding RNA. RefSeq lists it as uncharacterized. The record is from RefSeq and is a predicted model, not a curated record. Lineage: Eukaryota; Metazoa; Arthropoda; Insecta; Coleoptera; Curculionidae. The transcript is spliced from 3 exons.